GAUGAACGCUGGCGGCGUGCCUAAUACAUGCAAGUCGAGCGAACGGACGAGAAGCUUGCUUCUCUGAUGUUAGCGGCGGACGGGUGAGUAACACGUGGAUAACCUACCUAUAAGACUGGGAUAACUUCGGGAAACCGGAGCUAAUACCGGAUAAUAUUUUGAACCGCAUGGUUCAAAAGUGAAAGACGGUCUUGCUGUCACUUAUAGAUGGAUCCGCGCUGCAUUAGCUAGUUGGUAAGGUAACGGCUUACCAAGGCAACGAUGCAUAGCCGACCUGAGAGGGUGAUCGGCCACACUGGAACUGAGACACGGUCCAGACUCCUACGGGAGGCAGCAGUAGGGAAUCUUCCGCAAUGGGCGAAAGCCUGACGGAGCAACGCCGCGUGAGUGAUGAAGGUCUUCGGAUCGUAAAACUCUGUUAUUAGGGAAGAACAUAUGUGUAAGUAACUGUGCACAUCUUGACGGUACCUAAUCAGAAAGCCACGGCUAACUACGUGCCAGCAGCCGCGGUAAUACGUAGGUGGCAAGCGUUAUCCGGAAUUAUUGGGCGUAAAGCGCGCGUAGGCGGUUUUUUAAGUCUGAUGUGAAAGCCCACGGCUCAACCGUGGAGGGUCAUUGGAAACUGGAAAACUUGAGUGCAGAAGAGGAAAGUGGAAUUCCAUGUGUAGCGGUGAAAUGCGCAGAGAUAUGGAGGAACACCAGUGGCGAAGGCGACUUUCUGGUCUGUAACUGACGCUGAUGUGCGAAAGCGUGGGGAUCAAACAGGAUUAGAUACCCUGGUAGUCCACGCCGUAAACGAUGAGUGCUAAGUGUUAGGGGGUUUCCGCCCCUUAGUGCUGCAGCUAACGCAUUAAGCACUCCGCCUGGGGAGUACGACCGCAAGGUUGAAACUCAAAGGAAUUGACGGGGACCCGCACAAGCGGUGGAGCAUGUGGUUUAAUUCGAAGCAACGCGAAGAACCUUACCAGAUCUUGACAUCCUUUGACAACUCUAGAGAUAGAGCUUUCCCCUUCGGGGGACAAAGUGACAGGUGGUGCAUGGUUGUCGUCAGCUCGUGUCGUGAGAUGUUGGGUUAAGUCCCGCAACGAGCGCAACCCUUAAGCUUAGUUGCCAUCAUUAAGUUGGGCACUCUAAGUUGACUGCCGGUGACAAACCGGAGGAAGGUGGGGAUGACGUCAAAUCAUCAUGCCCCUUAUGAUUUGGGCUACACACGUGCUACAAUGGACAAUACAAAGGGCAGCGAAACCGCGAGGUCAAGCAAAUCCCAUAAAGUUGUUCUCAGUUCGGAUUGUAGUCUGCAACUCGACUACAUGAAGCUGGAAUCGCUAGUAAUCGUAGAUCAGCAUGCUACGGUGAAUACGUUCCCGGGUCU
RNAcentral lists this ribosomal RNA (1372 nucleotides) under uncultured bacterium. Its description in RNAcentral is "bacterial SSU rRNA". It matches the Rfam family "Bacterial small subunit ribosomal RNA", at positions 28 to 1381 of the family's 1533-position model. The record is from RNAcentral.